Molecule: ribosomal RNA, 480 nt
Filed under: uncultured bacterium
Lineage: Bacteria
Description: SSU rRNA
Rfam family: Bacterial small subunit ribosomal RNA
Source: RNAcentral
GAUAAACGCUGGCGGCGUGCCUAAUACAUGCAAGUCGAUCGAUGGAUGCCCAGCUUGCUGGGAGGAAAUAGAGGCGAACGGGUGAGUAAUACGUAAGCAACCUGCCCACGAAGACCGGGAUAAUCCCUGGAAACGGGGACUAAGACCGGAUAGGUAACAGAACCGCAUGAUUUUGUUAUUAAAGGUUAAAAACACUGGUGGAUGGGCUUACGGUGCAUUAGCUUGUUGGUGUGGUAACGGCCCACCAAGGCGAUGAUGCAUAGCUGGUCUGAGAGGAUGAACAGCCACAUUGGGACUGAGACACGGCCCAGACUCCUACGGGAGGCAGCAGUAGGGAAUUUUCGGCAAUGGGGGAAACCCUGACCGAGCAACGCCGCGUGAGUGAAGAAGGUUUUCGGAUUGUAAAGCUCUGUUGUAAGGAAAGAAAUGUACUGUGAGAAACAGUACUUGACGUACCUUACCAGAAAGCUACGGCUAAAU